UACGUAGGGAGCAAGCGUUGUCCGGAAUCAUUGGGCGUAAAGCGCGCGUAGGUGGCCCCGUAAGUCCGCUGUGAAAGUCAAAGGCUCAACCUUUGAAAGCCGGUGGAUACUGUGGGACUAGAGUACGGAAGAGGCGAGUGGAAUUCCUGGUGUAGCGGUGGAAUGCGCAGAUAUCAGGAGGAACACCGGUGGCGAAGGCGGGUCUCUGGGCCGAUACUGACGCUGAGGAGCGAAAGCGUGGGGAGCGAACAGG
This 253-nucleotide ribosomal RNA is filed under the name uncultured bacterium. RNAcentral describes it as "partial 16S ribosomal RNA". It matches the Rfam family "Bacterial small subunit ribosomal RNA", at positions 524 to 776 of the family's 1533-position model. The record is from RNAcentral.